CGAAUGUCUAGUGUAGCUGAUUUUUGUGCUCGUGCGCUCGCUUACUCGUUGACAGUGUUUCACUAGAUUAUAUGAUUUUUACCAGAUAUCUU
Molecule: long non-coding RNA, 92 nt
Organism: Diprion similis
Lineage: Eukaryota; Metazoa; Arthropoda; Insecta; Hymenoptera; Diprionidae
Exons: 3
Source: RefSeq, a predicted model, not a curated record